Molecule: non-coding RNA, 600 nt
Organism: Arachis ipaensis
Lineage: Eukaryota; Viridiplantae; Streptophyta; Magnoliopsida; Fabales; Fabaceae
Source: RefSeq, a predicted model, not a curated record
UUAUGGCUUUUGAUGGGUGAAUUUUAUAGGGAUGUGGAGAAAAGUGGUAAUUAAAUAAAUAUAACUGGAGUUUUGAUUUUUAGUUUUCUUUUAUUUUUUGGUUCUGUUUGUCACUUGUCAGUCUUUUUCAGCAACCAAAACUGGAAGGUUAGAUUAUUUGGUGUUGGUGAUACACUGAUUUGAGGUGAGUUUGGCUGUUUGAAGAUUUAUGAUGCUUGGCAGGACGUUUGCCUCUUUUUAAGACUAGUUUGUCAAUUUUUUGGAGGCUGGGGAUUGGCCACAGCAGCUGGGUGGGUGGGGGAAUCAUGUUUAAACUUCCUUUGUUGAAAUUUUGUUGAAUUUUUAGGUACGAGUUAGCUGAAGAUUGUGCUGAUGAUGACGAUGCAAAGGUUGGAAUCUCUGAGUUGAGGAAGGCGGUUUUAGAGGAGCUGAAGAUGCAUAAUUCACUGGUACAGGAGUGGGGAUUGGACCUUGCAAAAGAGAACAAUAUUAAUUCUGCAACGGUAAAAUACACACAAUUCCUGUUAGCCACAGCCUCUGGGAAGAUUGAAGGACUAAAAGGUGCUGGUAAACUCGCAACACCAUUUGAGAAAACAAAAA